Molecule: ribosomal RNA, 500 nt
Filed under: uncultured bacterium
Lineage: Bacteria
Description: bacterial SSU rRNA
Rfam family: Bacterial small subunit ribosomal RNA
Source: RNAcentral
AACACAUGCAAGUCGAACGGGAUUGAUUGAAAGCUUGCUUUGAAAGAUCUAGUGGCAAACGGGUGAGUAACGCGUAGGCAACCUGCCUCUAAGAUGGGGACAACAGCCCAAAGGGCUAGCUAAUACCGGAAUGUUGUAUCUUUUUCCGCAUGGGAGAGAUAUUAAAGAUGGCCUCUACUUGUAAGCUAUCACUUAGAGAUGGGCCUGCGUCUGAUUAGCUAGUUGGUGGGGUAACGGCUCACCAAGGCGACGAUCAGUAGCCGGUCUGAGAGGAUGAACGGCCACAUUGGGACUGAGACACGGCCCAGACUCCUACGGGAGGCAGCAGUGGGGAAUCUUCCGCAAUGGGCGAAAGCCUGACGGAGCAACGCCGCGUGAAGUGAAGAAGGUCUUCGGAUCGUAAAGCUCUGUCGAAGGGACGAACGUAAUCUUUAUCAACAACGAAGGUUAAUGACGGUACCUUUCAAGAAAGCCACGGCUAACUACGUGCCAGCCGCUGC